CAGCAAAUCCGUAGUCUCCACC
Molecule: microRNA, 22 nt
Filed under: Ascaris suum (pig roundworm)
Lineage: Eukaryota; Metazoa; Nematoda; Chromadorea; Rhabditida; Ascarididae
Description: asu-miR-7-3p
Gene: asu-miR-7-3p
Source: miRBase by way of RNAcentral